This 253-nucleotide ribosomal RNA is filed under the name uncultured bacterium. RNAcentral's name for it is "partial 16S ribosomal RNA". It matches the Rfam family "Bacterial small subunit ribosomal RNA", at positions 524 to 776 of the family's 1533-position model. The record is from RNAcentral.
UACGAAGGGGGCUAGCGUUGUUCGGAAUUACUGGGCGUAAAGGGCGCGCAGGCGGUUCCUCAAGUCAGGCGUGAAAGCCCCGGGCUCAACCUGGGAACUGCGCUUGAGACUGCGGGACUGGAGUUCGGGAGAGGAGAGCGGAAUUCCUGGUGUAGCGGUGAAAUGCGCAGAUAUCAGGAGGAACACCAAUGGCGAAGGCAGCUCGCUGGGACGUGACUGACGCUGAGACGCGAAAGCGUGGGGAGCAAACAGG